GAUGAAGAACGUAGCGAAAUGCGAUACUUGGUGUGAAUUGCAGAAUCCCGUGAACCAUCGAGUCUUUGAACGCAAGUUGCGCCCGAAGCCACUAGGCCGAGGGCACGCCUGCCUGGGCGUCACACGUCGUUGCCCCCCCCCCCAUCUACUCCUUCGGGAUUGCGGGGGGCGGAUGAUGGCCUCCCGUGCGCCUAGCCGCGCGGUUGGCAUAAAUACCAAGUCCUCGGCGACGCACGCCACGACUAUCGGUGGUUGCGAAACCUCGGUUGCCCGUCGUGUGCGUUCGUCGCGCAUCGAGGGCUCGAAAAAAUGCUCGGCUCCGGCUCGGCUUUCAACGCGACCCCAGGUCAGGCGGGGUUACCCGCUGAAUUUAAGCAUAUCAUAAGCGGAGGA
This 393-nucleotide unclassified non-coding RNA is filed under the name soil metagenome. RNAcentral's name for it is "partial contains 5.8S ribosomal RNA, internal transcribed spacer 2, and large subunit ribosomal RNA". The stretch from base 1 to 122 matches the Rfam family "5.8S ribosomal RNA", at positions 35 to 154 of the family's 154-position model. The record is from RNAcentral.